This 77-nucleotide transfer RNA is filed under the name Pseudomonadota bacterium. RNAcentral's name for it is "Proteobacteria bacterium tRNA-Pro". It matches the Rfam family "tRNA". From Rfam's summary of the family: Transfer RNA (tRNA) molecules are approximately 80 nucleotides in length. Their secondary structure includes four short double-helical elements and three loops (D, anti-codon, and T loops). Further hydrogen bonds mediate the characteristic L-shaped molecular structure. tRNAs have two regions of fundamental functional importance: the anti-codon, which is responsible for specific mRNA codon recognition, and the 3' end, to which the tRNAs corresponding amino acid is attached (by aminoacyl-tRNA synthetases). tRNAs cope with the degeneracy of the genetic code in two manners: having more than one tRNA (with a specific anti-codon) for a particular amino acid; and 'wobble' base-pairing, i.e. permitting non-standard base-pairing at the 3rd anti-codon position. The record is from RNAcentral. Lineage: Bacteria; Pseudomonadati; Pseudomonadota. RNAcentral also lists the same sequence under 3 other names.
CGGGGCGUAGCUCAGCCUGGCAGAGUGCCUGCUUUGGGAGCAGGAUGUCGGAGGUUCGAAUCCUCUCGCCCCGACCA